AGUGAACGCUGGCGGUAGGCCUAACACAUGCAAGUCGAACGGCAGCACAGUAAGAGCUUGCUCUUACGGGUGGCGAGUGGCGGACGGGUGAGGAAUACAUCGGAAUCUACUUUUUCGUGGGGGAUAACGUAGGGAAACUUACGCUAAUACCGCAUACGACCUACGGGUGAAAGCAGGGGAUCUUCGGACCUUGCGCGAUUGAAUGAGCCGAUGUCGGAUUAGCUAGUUGGCGGGGUAAAGGCCCACCAAGGCGACGAUCCGUAGCUGGUCUGAGAGGAUGAUCAGCCGCACUGGAACUGAAACACGGUCCAGACUCCUACGGGAGGCAGCAGAGGGGAAUAUUGGACAAUGGGCGCAAGCCUGAUCCAGCCAGACCGCGUGGGUGAAGAAAGCCUUCGGGUUGUAAAGCCCUUUUGUUGGGAAAGAAAAGCAGCAGGUUAAUACCCCGCUGUUCUGACGGUACCCAAAGAAGAAGCACCGGCUAACUUCGUG
This 492-nucleotide ribosomal RNA is filed under the name uncultured bacterium. RNAcentral's name for it is "partial 16S ribosomal RNA". It matches the Rfam family "Bacterial small subunit ribosomal RNA", at positions 29 to 507 of the family's 1533-position model. The record is from RNAcentral.